RNAcentral lists this long non-coding RNA (362 nucleotides) under Canis lupus familiaris (dog). RNAcentral's name for it is "lncRNA (ENSCAFG00845028002.1)". Lineage: Eukaryota; Metazoa; Chordata; Mammalia; Carnivora; Canidae. The record is from RNAcentral.
AUGAAACACUUUCAUAUGAAAUAUCUAAAUGAUUGAGAUCAAAUUAUGUAUCUUUAUUGCUUAUUUAAUUUUACUUCUGUAGAUAAAUUCACAAUAUGUGUGUGAAGACAAUUUGUAAGUCUUUGGUAGUUUUUAUGAUUGCAAUAUUAAAAUAUAUUUUUGCUGUUUCAGAUGAUGGUGCCUGUCAAUUAACUGAACAACUGUGAUGCCUCACAUAUUCAAACUCUCAAUCAUUUAAAAAACUAGCAUCUUACUGUGAGUCACUGUGUAAGUAGUUAUGAAGAAUAUUGUAUAUGGGUUCUAUUUAUAAUGAAAUACCCAACAUUAUUUCCAUAAAUAAUUUUUCUCUAUUAUUUUUAUGA